UGGUGGGGAAAUAUUAGGACAAUGGGCGAAAGCCUGAUCCAGCCAUGCCGCGUGUGUGAAGAAGGUCUUCGGAUUGUAAAGCACUUUAAGUUGGGAGGAAGGGCAGUAAGUUAAUACCUUGCUGUUUUGACGUUACCGACAGAAUAAGCACCGGCUAACUUCGUGCCAGCAGCCGCGGUAAUAAAAA
This 187-nucleotide ribosomal RNA is filed under the name uncultured Pseudomonas sp. RNAcentral's name for it is "partial 16S ribosomal DNA". It matches the Rfam family "Bacterial small subunit ribosomal RNA", at positions 352 to 529 of the family's 1533-position model. The record is from RNAcentral. Lineage: Bacteria; Pseudomonadati; Pseudomonadota; Gammaproteobacteria; Pseudomonadales; Pseudomonadaceae.